UCUCCAGACUCCUACGGGAGGCAGCAGUGAGGAAUAUUGGUCAAUGGACGGAAGUCUGAACCAGCCAUGCCGCGUGCAGGAAGACGGCUCUAUGAGUUGUAAACUGCUUUUGUACAAGGGUAAACCUGAAUACGUGUAUUCAGCUGAAAGUACUGUACGAAUAAGGAUCGGCUAACUCCGUGCCAGCAGCCGCGGUAAUACGGAGGAUGCGAGCGUUAUCCGGAUUUAUUGGGUUUAAAGGGUGCGUAGGCGGAACAUUAGGUCAGCGGUAAAAUCGAGGGGCUCAACCCCUUUAAGCCGUUGAAACUGGUGAUCUUGAGUGGGCGAGAAGUAUGCGGAAUGCGUGGUGUAGCGGUGAAAUGCAUAGAUAUCACGCAGAACUCCGAUUGCGAAGGCAGCAUACCGGCGCCCGACUGACGCUGAGGCACGAAAGCGUGGGGAUCGAACAGGAUUAGAUACCCGAGUACUA
This 469-nucleotide ribosomal RNA is filed under the name uncultured bacterium. RNAcentral describes it as "bacterial SSU rRNA". It matches the Rfam family "Bacterial small subunit ribosomal RNA", at positions 328 to 797 of the family's 1533-position model. The record is from RNAcentral.